AUGAGCCAAAUUGAAAGUGUUUGGGUGAAGUUUAAGCUAGAAUCUUCUGCUGAGAAGUUCUAUGGCUUCUUCAAGAAGAACCAUGUAGGGGAAUUGUUUCAUAUGUUUCCUCAGCAUUUCAAGAGUUGUCAGCUUGUGGAAGGAGAAAAUUUCUCUGUUGACAGUGUUAUACACUUGAAAUACUAUCUUGAUUUACAAUCAUGGAUGUACAAGAGUAGAUUAUCCAAAGAUUAUGAAUUAGGGCAAUUGCGAUAUUUCAAUCUCAAAAGAAUAUUAAAAAAAAGUCGGAAGCAAACCUUAUGGAGCUAAAG
Molecule: non-coding RNA, 311 nt
Organism: Benincasa hispida (wax gourd)
Lineage: Eukaryota; Viridiplantae; Streptophyta; Magnoliopsida; Cucurbitales; Cucurbitaceae
Source: RefSeq, a predicted model, not a curated record